This 104-nucleotide small nucleolar RNA is filed under the name Maudiozyma saulgeensis. The record is from RNAcentral. Lineage: Eukaryota; Fungi; Ascomycota; Saccharomycetes; Saccharomycetales; Saccharomycetaceae.
UGAAGAUGACGAGUUACAGCACUGGGCACUGAUAUAAAUAAAAUAUUUAUUUUCAUGAGUGACAACGCUUUAAGUGGGCCUAGAAAACCCACGCUACCGAUUCA